RNAcentral lists this non-coding RNA (565 nucleotides) under Pyrus pyrifolia. RNAcentral's name for it is "partial transfer RNA-Leu(UAA)". The stretch from base 1 to 490 matches the Rfam family "Group I catalytic intron". From Rfam's summary of the family: Group I catalytic introns are large self-splicing ribozymes. They catalyse their own excision from mRNA, tRNA and rRNA precursors in a wide range of organisms. Lineage: Eukaryota; Viridiplantae; Streptophyta; Magnoliopsida; Rosales; Rosaceae. The record is from RNAcentral.
UUAAUUGGAUGAGCUUGGUAUGGAACCUACCAAGUGAGAACUUUCAAAUUCAGAGAAACCCUGGAAUUAAAAAUGGGCAAUCCUGAGCCAAAUCCUGUUUUAUGAAAAUAAACAAGGGUUUCAUAAACCGAAAAUAAAAAAGGAUAGGUGCAGAGACUCAAUGGAAGCUGUUCUAACAAAUGGAGUUGGCUGCAUUGUGUUAGUAAAGGAAUCCUUCCAUCGAAACUUCAGAAAGGAUGAAGGAUAAACCUAUAUACAUACGUAUAGUACUGAAAUACUAUCUCAAAAUGAUUAAUGACGACCCAAAUCUUUCUUUUGUUAUAUUUAUAUGAAAAAUGAAAGACUUGUUGUGAAUCGAUUAAAAAUUGAAAAAAGAAUCGAAUAUUCAUUGAUCAAACCAUUCACUCCACCGUAGUCUGAUAGAUCUUUUUAAUAAUUGAUUAAUCGGACGAGAAUAAAGAUAGAGUCCCAUUAUACAUGUUAAUAUCGACAACAAUGAAAUUUAUAGUAAGAGGAAAAUCCGUCGACUUUAGAAAUCGUGAGGGUUCAAGUCCCUCUAUCCCCA